AAGUCGUAACAAGGUUUCCGUAGGUGAACCUGCGGAAGGAUCAUUAACACGUAUCCAACGUUAAACAACCCUGUGAACCUUGAACGUGCUCCUGCGGCCCCAUGAAAUCAGCAAUCCCUGGUAAAUCAUUGUUGACCAGCUUUUGAGUCAGGGAUCUCUGCCGAAACGGCUGUUCAGUACCGAGCGCAGUGUAAGCGACCUGGCAUCCCUAAGCGAUCAGUGUCUGAAAGUGUCAUUGAUUGUGUAAGGAUGGCGCAGUCACGAUCGCUGUAGGCCCACACGGCCGGCGACCGGGUCACCGGGCUCUGCCCCUUUACGACAACACAGUACGAAUUGGCCGCGCGUGAAAUUCGCACGGCACCAAAAACCGAACAACUGUUAACAAUGGAUAUCUUGGUUCUC
RNAcentral lists this unclassified non-coding RNA (402 nucleotides) under fungal sp. RNAcentral describes it as "partial internal transcribed spacer region". The stretch from base 1 to 46 matches the Rfam family "Eukaryotic small subunit ribosomal RNA", at positions 1786 to 1831 of the family's 1831-position model. The record is from RNAcentral. Lineage: Eukaryota; Fungi.